CUGUGGUUGUGGCUCAGUGGUAGAGCACUUGCCUAUCACAUGUGAGGCACUGGAUUCAAUCUCAGGACCACAUA
This 74-nucleotide transfer RNA is filed under the name Marmota monax (woodchuck). Its description in RNAcentral is "tRNA.Asp". Lineage: Eukaryota; Metazoa; Chordata; Mammalia; Rodentia; Sciuridae. The record is from RNAcentral.